UACGAAUGGGGCAAGCGUUGUUCGGAAUCACUGGGCUUAAAGCGUGCGUAGGCGGAUCUGCAAGUCAGGAGUGAAAUCCCCGGGCUCAACCCGGGAACUGCUUUUGAAACUGCAAAUCUAGAGACCUGGAGAGGUUAGCGGAAUUCCGAGUGUAGAGGUGAAAUUCGCAGAUAUUCGGAGGAACACCAGUGGCGAAGGCGGCUAACUGGACAGGUACUGACGCUGAGGCACGAAAGCGUGGGGAUCAAACAGG
RNAcentral lists this ribosomal RNA (253 nucleotides) under uncultured bacterium. RNAcentral's name for it is "partial 16S ribosomal RNA". It matches the Rfam family "Bacterial small subunit ribosomal RNA", at positions 524 to 776 of the family's 1533-position model. The record is from RNAcentral.